GACAUUCCCUAGUAUAAAAAUAAAGAAAGGGUUGUUUGUUAAUUUUAAUUGUCGUUUUUCGUUUUGAAUCUUUUUUAAGAAAUAACACUUCUCUAAAAUGGAAUUGUAAAUUAGUAUCGUUGAAAUUCUCCUUCUUUCAGUAUAGAAUCAUUAAUACAAAGUUUUGUACAUUGUUGAUCCGAACUAUGUGAAUGAUAUUUUGAAUACGUCUCGUCUCCUCUUUUAUUGAGUGGAACUUGUCUUAGUGAUGUAUGGCCUCGUUGAAUUGUGCUAGUGGGACACCACUCGAGGUAGACAUAUUUCUCUGGGAAGAUAGUUUAGAUACGCAUAAUAAUUUAAUUCAUCGUCUAUCUAUAAAGUAAAAACCGAUAUAGAAACUAUUUCAAUACUCGUAAAGAUGUUAGGUGAAUAUAUAGAUAUUGUUAUAAGAUAAACUUUGAAAUGAUCCUCCACUCCUUUACCAACUCAAGCACUAUAAUCAUCUAUUCAUCAAGCACUAUGAUCAUCUACUCAUCAACCACUAUGAUCACCCACUCAUUUACCAAAUCAAGCAACAUCUUUGAUAUUUUAUGUAUUGUUGCUUACUAUAAAUACCGUCACUCA
This 603-nucleotide long non-coding RNA is filed under the name Brassica napus (rape). RNAcentral's name for it is "long non-coding RNA (BNAP_LNC009737)". The record is from RNAcentral. Lineage: Eukaryota; Viridiplantae; Streptophyta; Magnoliopsida; Brassicales; Brassicaceae.